RNAcentral lists this ribosomal RNA (495 nucleotides) under uncultured bacterium. RNAcentral describes it as "partial 16S ribosomal RNA". It matches the Rfam family "Bacterial small subunit ribosomal RNA", at positions 28 to 507 of the family's 1533-position model. The record is from RNAcentral.
GACGAACGCUGGCGGCGUGCCUAAUACAUGCAAGUAGAACGCUGAAGGAGGAGCUUGCUUCUCUGGAUGAGUUGCGAACGGGUGAGUAACGCGUAGGUAACCUGCCUGGUAGCGGGGGAUAACUAUUGGAAACGAUAGCUAAUACCGCAUAAUAGUAGAUGUUGCAUGACAUUUGCUUAAAAGGUGCAAUUGCAUCACUACCAGAUGGACCUGCGUUGUAUUAGCUAGUUGGAGGGGUAACGGCUCACCAAGGCGACGAUACAUAGCCGACCUGAGAGGGUGAUCGGCCACACUGGGACUGAGACACGGCCCAGACUCCUACGGGAGGCAGCAGUAGGGAAUCUUCGGCAAUGGACGGAAGUCUGACCGAGCAACGCCGCGUGAGUGAAGAAGGUUUUCGGAUCGUAAAGCUCUGUUGUAAGAGAAGAACGAGUGUGAGAGUGGAAAGUUCACACUGUGACGGUAUCUUACCAGAAAGGGACGGCUAACUACGUG